UGCUCCUGGCCACACCUCUGGGUUCCUUUUAGGGGGUGCUCCCCAGCACGGUCCCAAAGCUCCAGUCCAAAGUGGCAUUGGUGGCCCUUGUCUAGCCCGAAUCACACCUGGAGGUGCUCAGGGGCCCCUUACGGGAUGCCGAGGAGAACCCGGGUUAGCUGCAAGCAAAGCAAGGUCCCUACCUGCGCCACUACCUCUCCGAGACUGUGUUUCUCUAGCCCGGGGACCUCGUGGCACCACCUCAAGGAAUGGCUGCUACCCCCAUACAAACAAAAGCGUCAUGUGAAGCUGGAAUCCAAGAGAAUGAGCCGCCUCUCUGACAUAAAGCCCCUCACACACCAAGCCGGACUAUUGAUGCCAUGCCUUUCGGACAGGACUUCCCGACCGAGACCUUCCUGCUUAUUCUUUUGGAACUUCUGGAACCAUCCAAACAAGCAG
Molecule: long non-coding RNA, 438 nt
Organism: Sorex araneus (European shrew)
Lineage: Eukaryota; Metazoa; Chordata; Mammalia; Eulipotyphla; Soricidae
Exons: 3
Source: RefSeq, a predicted model, not a curated record